Molecule: ribosomal RNA, 253 nt
Filed under: bacterium
Lineage: Bacteria
Also listed under: 1 other name
Description: partial 16S ribosomal RNA
Rfam family: Bacterial small subunit ribosomal RNA
Source: RNAcentral
UACAGAGGGUGCAAGCGUUAAUCGGAAUGACUGGGCGUAAAGGGCACGUAGGCGGCUAGAUGUGUUAUAGGUGAAAUCCCCGGGCUUAACCUGGGAACUGCCUAUAAAACUGUUUGGCUAGAAUAUAGGAGAGGUAAGUGGAAUUUCCGGUGUAGCGGUGAAAUGCGUAGAUAUCGGAAAGAACACCAGUGGCGAAGGCGACUUACUGGUCUAAUAUUGACGCUGAGGUGCGAAAGCGUGGGGAGCAAACGGG